This 256-nucleotide long non-coding RNA is filed under the name Vigna radiata. RNAcentral's name for it is "long non-coding RNA (VRAD_LNC017604)". Lineage: Eukaryota; Viridiplantae; Streptophyta; Magnoliopsida; Fabales; Fabaceae. The record is from RNAcentral.
UGGGUACUAANAAUUUCAUCUAUUCCACUCUCUCUUACAUACUACCCUUGAUUAUUAGAUUGAUUAAAUUGUUAUGCGACUUUCUUAGCCUCCCCUUAACCCGAUCCCUCGGCGAAAAGGGCCUAAUAUCAAUUACCGGCUUGCUAUCCCUAGCUUCCCCUAGUAAUUAAUACCGCAUUAUAAACAGAAGUUAGCGCAAUUGAUCGUCCUACCCCUAUCCCUAGGUGGUAUUGCAAAAUCAAGAGAUUACUCACCA